UCCUGCUACCAGCAAUUUGAGUGAGCCGUCUUGGAACUGGAUCACGUAACCGUUGCCAAGCCUCAGGAGACUUCUCAUGACGUUGCAGCUUGCAGCUUGAACCACUAAGCUUCUCCCAGGUUCCUGACCCUCAGAAAUUGCAUGAGACAAUAAAUAUCUGUUGUUUUAAGAUGUUAAAUUUUGAUUUAGAUUGUUAUUCUACAAUAUAUAAUUAUUACUGUGAUUGAAGAUGCCUAGCUUCCACAAACUGGCAGUAUAGUUGGAAAAGUAGGUUACAUGCCCUAAAAACAAACAAACAAACUAUGGAAGUUUCUAAAUAAUGUAGCAGAUGAAGAGAACUGCUGUGCAGUGGAAAUACUACAUGGUAUCAUCAUGGUCCUUGUGAACUGAGUACUGAGUCCUUUGUGAAGUAAGUCCUGAAGCUGAGUUUAUGGGGCAAUACUAGAUUGGUGGAAUAUAUAUAAAUGUUUUUUUUUCUUUUAUCCCCCAAAAGAGUACUGUGGAUUUAUCAAUAACUAGUAAUUUAAAGAAAGAAACCAGACUUAUGAGAGUUUUAAAAACUGAUAGAAUUUGGAAAGGUGGAAAUAUUGAGAAGACUAUAAAAAUCUCAAGAUAUGUCUUUGGGAAUUUUCUUCAUAGCUGUGAGAUGUCUUCAGAAGCCACUGAUGGAAUUAGUCUGUGAACCUGGAUCUUUAUGUGGCUCAUUGAGACUGCAUAUAACAAUGUUAGGGUCUGUAAACAAGUCAAGAUGGCACCUGGCAUUUUGCCAGAGGGAGUGGUUUGUGAAGUAACUCCAGCGAGCCAUUAAGUGUGGAGAUUCCUUAUUGGUUGACUGUUGUAUGUAGUUUAUGUUAAUUAAGAUAAGCUGUGUGGAAUGUAUAUAUACCCCUCCUGUCCUACAAUAAAUGACUCCCACUCCUACUGUAUCAAUGUACACAAGUUGCUCGUCACCCGCUGCCCCCCCCCCCCCUGGACUGCGGCAUAACAAGCCACCAAUGCAGGCAGUUCAUCAGUCAGAUCAAUAAAAAAAAAUUGUACUUGAAAUAGCCAAUUAAUCAAUGUGCAAGCUGACUUUUCUUGGUUUUAAGGUUAAUAUUGUUCUAACCAUUCUUUAUUAUUGUAUAUUGUGUUUUCUUUUAACUGUACCAGAGACGGGCCUCUGUUUAUCAUUUGUUGAAAUAACCCAAUGCUGGAAAAGUUGGUUAGAUUAGAGGUUGAAAGCCUGAUUCAAGUUAUAACAAUUGGAGAUCCAUUUCCAGGAACUGAGAGGUCAGCAACUCAGUGGGUACUAUAGUUUGAAUCUUGCAUGUUCCCAAAAGGUCCUCGUGUUACAGGUUUGGUCCCAAGAAGGGUGCUGUUGGAAGGCAAUUGAAUCUUAAAGGGGUGGGACCUAGUGGAAGGGCCUUAGUUCAUUGGGGAUAUGCCAUCAAAGGAGAUUGUGGGA
RNAcentral lists this long non-coding RNA (1444 nucleotides) under Marmota monax (woodchuck). The record is from RNAcentral. Lineage: Eukaryota; Metazoa; Chordata; Mammalia; Rodentia; Sciuridae.